Molecule: ribosomal RNA, 759 nt
Filed under: uncultured bacterium
Lineage: Bacteria
Description: bacterial SSU rRNA
Rfam family: Bacterial small subunit ribosomal RNA
Source: RNAcentral
GAUGAACGCUAGCUACAGGCUUAACACAUGCAAGUCGAGGGGCAGCAUGGUCUUAGCUUGCUAAGACUGAUGGCGACCGGCGCACGGGUGAGUAACACGUAUCCAACCUGCCGUCUACUCUUGGACAGCCUUCUGAAAGGAAGAUUAAUACAAGAUGGCAUCAUGAGUCCGCAUGUUCACAUGAUUAAAGGUAUUCCGGUAGACGAUGGGGAUGCGUUCCAUUAGAUAGUAGGCGGGGUAACGGCCCACCUAGUCUUCGAUGGAUAGGGGUUCUGAGAGGAAGGUCCCCCACAUUGGAACUGAGACACGGUCCAAACUCCUACGGGAGGCAGCAGUGAGGAAUAUUGGUCAAUGGGCGAGAGCCUGAACCAGCCAAGUAGCGUGUGGGACGAAUGCCCUAUGGGUUGUAAACCACUUUUGCAGGAGGGUAAAAUGCUUCACGUGUGGAGUAUUGCAAGUAUCCUGCGAAUAAGGACCGGCUAAUUCCGUGCCAGCAGCCGCGGUAAUACGGAAGGUCCGGGCGUUAUCCGGAUUUAUUGGGUUUAAAGGGAGCGUAGGCGGGGAGUCAAGUCAGUUGUGAAAAGCCGCGGCCCAACCGUGGUCGUGCAGUUGAAACUGGUUCUCUUGAGUGCGCACGAGGACGGUGGAAUUCGUGGUGUAGCGGUGAAAUGCUUAGAUAUCACGAAGAACUCCGAUUGCGAAGGCAGCCGUCCGGAGCGUUACUGACGCUGAGGCUCGAAGGUGCGGGUAUCAAACAGG